CAGAAGGAAGUUGGUACCAUACAUGCUUACUGUCAGUAAUCAGGUGUGUGCCACGUGAUUGCUUUGAAGAACUGAACAAAAACAACUCACCACUGCCUGAGCAAAGCUGAUUCUCAACAGGUUUUUGGAAGGCUUAAUUGUAAGAAGGAAAUUACGCCGAGUACCCUAGAGGGGAAAGAAGAGAGGAUCAUACCUCUGAAGCUGGGGAUUAGAGGAUGGAAGAGAACAUUUUCAAAUAUUGGGGAAGGAUAAAAGAGUAUGAGUCCACAGGCAGUGGGCCCUGUUUCAGUUUCCUGGGAGUAAUUCAGGGAAGAUUCAGAGCUCCAAUGGUCAAGGCUCUAAACUAUGUUCCUCGGAAUGUUGUACCCUUGGAACUGGACUCAUUGCUUUAGCUAGGAGUCCCAAGUGUAUGUGUGGGCAGUAGUCCAGAGACUUGGCUGGGCCUUCAUUCAAAUCCUCUGGAUACAC
RNAcentral lists this long non-coding RNA (468 nucleotides) under Homo sapiens (human). Its description in RNAcentral is "HSALNT0128331". Lineage: Eukaryota; Metazoa; Chordata; Mammalia; Primates; Hominidae. The record is from RNAcentral.